UACGGGGGGAGCAAGCGUUGUUCGGAUUUACUGGGCGUAAAGAGCGCGCAGGCGGUCGAGUAAGUCGAAUGUGAAAGCCCCCGGCUUAACUGGGGAGGGUCAUUCGAUACUGUUCGACUUGAAGGCAGGAGAGGGCAGCAGAAUUCCCGGUGUAGUGGUGAAAUGCGUAGAUAUCGGGAGGAAUACCAGUGGCGAAGGCGGCUGCCUGGCCUGUUCUUGACGCUGAGGCGCGAAAGCUGGGGGAGCAAACGGG
This 253-nucleotide ribosomal RNA is filed under the name uncultured bacterium. Its description in RNAcentral is "partial 16S ribosomal RNA". It matches the Rfam family "Bacterial small subunit ribosomal RNA", at positions 524 to 776 of the family's 1533-position model. The record is from RNAcentral.